Molecule: ribosomal RNA, 253 nt
Filed under: uncultured bacterium
Lineage: Bacteria
Description: partial 16S ribosomal RNA
Rfam family: Bacterial small subunit ribosomal RNA
Source: RNAcentral
UACAGAGGUCUCGAGCGUUGUUCGGAUUCAUUGGGCGUAAAGGGCGCGUAGGCGGCGGGGUAAGUCUGGUGUGAAAUCUCGGAGCUCAACUCCGAAAUUGCACUGGAUACUGCUCUGCUAGAGGGCUGGAGAGGAGAUCGGAAUUCACGGUGUAGCAGUGAAAUGCGUAGAUAUCGUGAGGAAGACCAGUGGCGAAGGCGGAUCUCUGGACAGCUCCUGACGCUGAGGAGCGAAAGCGUGGGGAGCGAACAGG